Molecule: ribosomal RNA, 223 nt
Filed under: uncultured bacterium
Lineage: Bacteria
Description: partial 16S ribosomal RNA
Rfam family: Bacterial small subunit ribosomal RNA
Source: RNAcentral
GAUGAACGCUGGCGGCGUGCCUAAUACAUGCAAGUCGAACGCACAGCGAAAGGUGCUUGCACCUUUCAAGUGAGUGGCGAACGGGUGAGUAACACGUGGACAACCUGCCGUCAAGGCUGGGGAUAACAUUUGGAAACAGAUGCUAAUACCGAAGUAAAACUCAGUGUCGCAUGACACAAAGUUAAAAGGCGCUUUGGCGUCACCUAGAGAUGGAUCCGCGGUG